GUGCGUGCUCCGCUUCGCCCUCACGCACCUCACCGCGGCCACCUCCUCCCACCCACCGCCGCCGGCGGCGCCAUGGAGGUCGGCGGCGAGGAAUUCGCGGUCGGCGUGGUGAUCUCCGCAAAGACCACCCUCGGGGAGGAGUUCGAGGGCUAGAUCUCUCGUUCGACCGCCCGAGCAACCUCCUCGUCAUCCAUAUCCUUCCCAAAUCCAACCUUUGCUCCCCGCCCCCAUCUCUAUGCCGUUUACUUCUGCCUCCUGCUCUAUUUAUGUGUACUGCCUGGUUCCUUUGUUUCCAUGACAGCGUAGAUCACAAGAGGACGUGGGCAGGGCGGAGAGGGGUAAGCGGCGGAACGUGAGGGUGCUCAAGGCCAACUACAUCCAGGAGUUCUCCGUCGUCGGCAAGUACGACGACCCGCUCGACCCGGCUGGUUGUGUGCUCGACCUCGCCGCCAUCCACGCCAGGGAGGAGGCCGCCCUCAGAUUCAAUCAAUGGAUUUGCUCCCUCCAGCUGUAGAUGCUCUAAUGUGUUGUGCUUAGUUGAGUCAUAGUACUGGUCAAUGUGGAGCACCAGAUUUGUAAGAAUCAUGCACACUGAUCAGAUACUCAGAUCUCAACAGAAAAUCUCUCUAGAUUUAUGUAUACCUAUGGAUACAUACUAAUUCCUCGAGAAACAAAUGUGUAUGCUGCUAAA
Molecule: long non-coding RNA, 691 nt
Organism: Hordeum vulgare subsp. vulgare (domesticated barley)
Lineage: Eukaryota; Viridiplantae; Streptophyta; Magnoliopsida; Poales; Poaceae
Exons: 2
Source: RefSeq, a predicted model, not a curated record